GUCUGUGGGUACGCCACUCUGAAUGCACCUGAUCUCAGAAGCUAAGCAGGGUCUGCCCUGGGUUUUACUUGCA
This 73-nucleotide ribosomal RNA is filed under the name Peromyscus maniculatus bairdii (prairie deer mouse). Lineage: Eukaryota; Metazoa; Chordata; Mammalia; Rodentia; Cricetidae. The record is from RNAcentral.